This 446-nucleotide ribosomal RNA is filed under the name uncultured bacterium. RNAcentral describes it as "partial 16S ribosomal RNA". It matches the Rfam family "Bacterial small subunit ribosomal RNA", at positions 338 to 795 of the family's 1533-position model. The record is from RNAcentral.
CCUACGGGUGGCAGCAGUCGAGAAUCAUUCACAAUGGGGGAAACCCUGAUGGUGCGACGCCGCGUGGGGGAAUGAAGGUCUUCGGAUUGUAAACCCCUGUCAUGUGGGAGCAAAUUAAAAAGAUAGUACCACAAGAGGAAGAGACGGCUAACUCUGUGCCAGCGGCCGCGGUAAUACAGAGGUCUCAAGCGUUGUUCGGAAUCACUGGGCGUAAAGCGUGCGUAGGCUGUUUCGUAAGUCGUGUGUGAAAGGCGCGGGCUCAACCCGCGGACGGCACAUGAUACUGGGAAACUAGAGUGAUGGAGGGGGAACCGGAAUUCUCGGUGUAGCAGUGAAAUGCGUAGAUAUCGAGAGGAACACUCGUGGCGAAGGCGGGUUCCUGGACAUUAACUGACGCUGAGGCACGAAGGCCAGGGGAGCGAAAGGGAUUAGAUACCCGAGUAGUC